Molecule: unclassified non-coding RNA, 386 nt
Filed under: soil metagenome
Description: partial contains 5.8S ribosomal RNA, internal transcribed spacer 2, and large subunit ribosomal RNA
Rfam family: 5.8S ribosomal RNA (bases 1-120)
Source: RNAcentral
GAUGAAGAACGUAGCGAAAUGCGAUAAGUAAUGUGAAUUGCAGAAUUCAGUGAAUCAUCGAAUCUUUGAACGCACCUUGCGCUCCUUGGUAUUCCGAGGAGCAUGCCUGUUUGAGUGUCAUUAAAUUCUCAACCUCACCAGUUUUCUGAACUGUUCUCCGAGGCUUGGAUGUGGGGGUUUGUGCAGGCUGCCUCAGCGCGGUCUGCUCCCCUGAAAUGCAUUAGCGAGUUCGAUACUGAGCUCCGUCUAUUGGUGUGAUAAUUAUCUACGCCGUGGAUCGGGGCUUAGACUCGCUUCUAACCGUCCGCAAGGACAAUACCUUGACAAUUUGACCUCAAAUCAGGUAGGACUACCCGCUGAACUUAAGCAUUUCAAUAAGCGGAGGA